GACGAACGCUGGCGGCGUGCUUAACACAUGCAAGUCGAACGGAAAGGCCCUACUUUUGUGGGGUGCUCGAGUGGCGAACGGGUGAGUAACACGUGAGUAACCUGCCCUUCACUUUGGGAUAACUUCACGAAACUGGGGCUAAUACCGGAUAGGAGCUUCUGCUCCAUGGUGUGCGUUGGAAAGUUUCGGCGGUUGGGGAUGGACUAGCGGCUUAACAGCUUGUUGGUGGGGUAGUGGCUUACCCAGCCUUAGACGGGUAGCCGGCCUGAGAGGGUGACCGGCGACAUUGGGACUGAGAUACGGCGCAGACUGCUACGGGAGGCAGCAGGGGGGAAUAUUGCACAAUGGGCGGAAGCCUGAGGCAGAAGCGCCGCGUGCGUGAUGACGGCCUGCGGGGUGUAAACCGCUUUCGGCUGUGACGAAGCGUGAGUGACGGUAACGGAUGAAGAAGCACCGGCUAACUACGUG
This 468-nucleotide ribosomal RNA is filed under the name uncultured bacterium. Its description in RNAcentral is "partial 16S ribosomal RNA". It matches the Rfam family "Bacterial small subunit ribosomal RNA", at positions 28 to 507 of the family's 1533-position model. The record is from RNAcentral.